UUGCAAACACAUUAGUUUAUUGUUUAUGAAACUCGAAGGACACUAGCCAGGAAACUCCAUGGAAGCUGACAUUUCAACUCGUGUUUAAUUAUUGCAGAUCAGACAGGGCACCAGUUUAGACCUCGUUUUGAGUUACCGGUGAAAAGUUCACGCGUGUUACUAUCUCAAGUGUUUAAUAUCAUCCUCUAGGACCUCUACUCUCAAAUUCUCAAUGUCAAGUUGCCUUCAUUCUGACCCCGCUUGACCGGCUCUCUCUGCGUUCAAAUACACGUAAAAAAAUGGCGACGAAUUCACGUGGUCAUGGCGGCUGAUCACUACUUGAAAAAUACAACUGUCUAAACCUCCUCUUAUCUUCACUCGUAUGAUGGUUCAUAUAUAUAUGCGCAUUCCUCUGCUAACUAAUAGUGCACAAAUUCAGCAAAAACACUUCGAUUCUACUCCUUUAAUUAUUGCAGAUCAGACAGGGCACCAGUUUAGACAGGAAACUCCAUGGAAGCUAACAUUUCAACUCGUAUUUAAUUAUUGCAGAUCAGACAGGGCACCAGUUUAGACCUCGUUUUGAGUUACCGGUGAAAAGUUAACGCGUGCUACUAUCUCAAGUGUUUAAUAUCAUCCCCUAGGACCUCUACUAUCAAAUUCUCAAUGUCAAGUUGCCUUCAUUCUGACCCCGCUUCACCGGCUCUCUCUGCGUUCAAAUACACGUAAAAAAAUGGCGACGAAUUCACGUGGUCAUGGCGGCUGAUCACUACUUGAAAAAUACAAGUGUCUAAAC
RNAcentral lists this long non-coding RNA (772 nucleotides) under Populus trichocarpa (black cottonwood). Its description in RNAcentral is "long non-coding RNA (PTRI_LNC002158)". The record is from RNAcentral. Lineage: Eukaryota; Viridiplantae; Streptophyta; Magnoliopsida; Malpighiales; Salicaceae.